This 460-nucleotide unclassified non-coding RNA is filed under the name Hevea brasiliensis (rubber tree). Lineage: Eukaryota; Viridiplantae; Streptophyta; Magnoliopsida; Malpighiales; Euphorbiaceae. The record is from RNAcentral.
CUGGUUUCAUGUGCUUGGCCAUGGGAUGAGGAAUCUAGGAAAAUCGAGAGGUUGCUCGCCGUUGGCUAUGGCUUGGUGCUCUAGAGCCACUGUGCCUGGAAUUCAACCCUGGAAUUCAACCAUGUUUUAGGUACAAAUGCGAGGUAUGUGAGCCACUAAGCCAUGUAUGUAGACUUAGUUUGGAGCUGGAAAAUUAGUUGAAAAUAGACGAAGUAGAAAAAGCUAUUAGAAGGCCAAUGGUAACUGCAGAGGGGACAGAGAUGAAGCAACAUAUUAUGGAUUAUUGUUGUAUUUUUGGCUUGCUUUUGGAUUGUUCGCGUUUAAAUUUCUGAGUUGUUGUUUAUUUGGUUCUCUUCAUAAUUUUUUUUUAUUUUUCAGUUUCUAGAUUUUGAUUUAGAUAGUUAAUUAAUUUUUGUAUUUUAAAAUAAAAAUUAACAUUUUAUUAAUAAAAAAUUAAAGG